CCUACGGGCGGCAGCAGUGGGGAAUAUUGGGCAAUGGGGGCAACUCUGACCCAGCAACGCCGCGUGAAUGAUGAAGGUCUUCGGAUUGUACAGUUCUGUGAUGGGGGAUGAACACAAUGACGGUACCCCAGUAGCAAGCCACGGCUAACUACGUGCCAGCAGCCGCGGUAAUACGUAGGGGGCAAGCGUUAUCCGGAAGGCAUGGGCGUAAAGGGGGCGUAGGUGGUUUAGUAAGUUGGCGGUGUAAUUCCGGGGCUCAACCUCGGCGCUACCGCCAAAACUAUUAGACUAGAGUGCAGGAGGGGUAAGUGGAAUUCCUAGUGUAGCGGUGGAAUGCGUAGAUAUUAGGAGGAACAUCAGGGGCGAAGGCGACUUACUGGACUGUAACUGACACUGAGGCACGAAAGCGUGGGGAGCAAACAGGAUUAGAUACCCUUGUAGUC
Molecule: ribosomal RNA, 443 nt
Filed under: uncultured bacterium
Lineage: Bacteria
Description: partial 16S ribosomal RNA
Rfam family: Bacterial small subunit ribosomal RNA
Source: RNAcentral